CGUUAUAUAAAACAAAUAAUGUUUUUUUUUUUUCCAUUCUUUCAAUGGAAGGACUAUUUGAUUCGGUGAAAGCUGGCAGGUACCAUUCAACUCGGAUUUGCCUCUUUGAAUGGACAUUCCAUCUUUCACCUCAUGAAAUAUUUUUUGUACACUGUAAAUAAAUACAAAUGUUUAUUAUAAAUGC
This is a long non-coding RNA of Thalassophryne amazonica, 184 nucleotides long. RefSeq lists it as uncharacterized. The record is from RefSeq and is a predicted model, not a curated record. Lineage: Eukaryota; Metazoa; Chordata; Actinopteri; Batrachoidiformes; Batrachoididae. The transcript is spliced from 3 exons.